GAUGAACGCUGGCGGCGUGCCUAAUACAUGCAAGUCGAGCGAACAGACGAGGAGCUUGCUCCUCUGACGUUAGCGGCGGACGGGUGAGUAACACGUGGCUAACCUACCUAUAAGACUGGGAUAACUUCGGGAAACCGGAGCUAAUACCGGAUAAUAUAUUGAACCGCAUGGUUCAAUAGUGAAAGACGGUUUUGCUGCCACUUAUAGAUGGAUCCGCGCCGCAUUAGCUAGUUGGUAAGGUAACGGCUUACCAAGGCAACGAUGCGUAGCCGACCUGAGAGGGUGAGCGGCCACACUGGAACUGAGACACGGUCCAGACUCCUACGGGAGGCAGCAGUAGGGAAUCUUCCGCAAUGGGCGAAAGCCUGACGGAGCAACGCCGCGUGAGUGAUGAAGGUCUUCGGAUCGUAAAACUCUGUUAUUAGGGAAGAACAAAUGUGUAAGUAACUAUGCACGUCUUGACGGUACCUAAUCAGAAAGCCACGGCUAACUACGUG
Molecule: ribosomal RNA, 497 nt
Filed under: uncultured bacterium
Lineage: Bacteria
Description: partial 16S ribosomal RNA
Rfam family: Bacterial small subunit ribosomal RNA
Source: RNAcentral